RNAcentral lists this long non-coding RNA (1013 nucleotides) under Danio rerio (zebrafish). Its description in RNAcentral is "lncRNA si:ch73-91k6.6 (ENSDARG00000096803.2)". Lineage: Eukaryota; Metazoa; Chordata; Actinopteri; Cypriniformes; Danionidae. The record is from RNAcentral.
UAGCAUACAAUCAACGUUUUAAUACAAACAGCCAAAAUGGCAUUUGGGGAAACACUUCCCAAAACAACAAAAACAAAACAAAUGAUCAGAAAGUACCCCUCAUUCACUUAUAAACUCAUUAAAUCAGAGAAAACAACAGAAUUCCCACCUGAACAUUUACACCACUACAUGAACUAAACUCAAGACAUCAAGGCAUCUUUGGCUCAAAGUGUUAAGAACAAAUGUAAAUAUGGCUUUUAAAGACAGAUAGCAUUGCGAUUUGCUUAAGGAAAACUCGCUUCUACAAAUCAGUCACUUAUACCCGUACAAAAGAAAAACAGUCAGUGUCAAACUGUAUUCCUGGAGGGCCGCAGCUCUGCAGUUUAGCUCCAACCCAAAUCAAACACAGCUGAUCCAACUUAUCACGGUGUUCAAGACUACUGUAUUAAGCAGGUUGAGUUAAAGAUGGUUGAAGUUAAAUUAUGCAAAGCUGCGGCGCUCCAGGAAUUGAGUUUGUGGCCACUGCAUUAGAGCAAAACAAAUGUCUCAUAUAAUAAACCAGGGGUGCCCAAACUCAAUAAUGAGGGUUGGUGUUCAGCAUAUUUUAGUUCUAACCCCAAUUAAACACACAUGAACCAGCUGAUCAAGCUCUUUCCAGGUUUACAAAAACUUCCAUGCAGGUGUGUUUGAUUAGAGUUGGAGCUAAACUCUCCAGGACACUGGCCCUCUAGUUUGGAGACACAGAGACAGACAAACACACACACAUUUUGGCAACUCUUUUCAACAUGUCAGCUUUUCCUCCCUAAAGUCUAAAACGGAAAUCAAAGACAGGAAAUCAGAGAGGAAACACACGGAUGAGGUCAGCUGGAAAACAGCAAGUGUUCACUGUAAAAAAACAAAUGUAAAUGAGCAGUUUUCCAUAUUUUGUGAUGUUUGUUUUAAUUUUUCUCCAUUUAUUUCUGUUUUGAAUUGCAUUAUGGGAGCUUAAUCUUUCCUCCAACAACUUUUAACCUUGAAAAGUAAAAAAAAAAAAA